Molecule: transfer RNA, 77 nt
Filed under: SAR116 cluster bacterium
Lineage: Bacteria; Pseudomonadati; Pseudomonadota; Alphaproteobacteria; Puniceispirillales (SeqCode)
Also listed under: 1 other name
Description: tRNA-Arg
Rfam family: tRNA
About the family: Transfer RNA (tRNA) molecules are approximately 80 nucleotides in length. Their secondary structure includes four short double-helical elements and three loops (D, anti-codon, and T loops).
Source: RNAcentral
GGCUCCGUAGCUCAACUGGAUAGAGCAUCUGACUUCUAAUCAGAGGGUUGGGAGUUCGAGUCUUCCCGGAGUCGCCA